This 265-nucleotide ribosomal RNA is filed under the name uncultured bacterium. Its description in RNAcentral is "partial 16S ribosomal RNA". It matches the Rfam family "Bacterial small subunit ribosomal RNA", at positions 793 to 1055 of the family's 1533-position model. The record is from RNAcentral.
GUCCACGCCCUAAACUAUGUCGACUAGUUGUUGGGGGAAAUUGUCCCUCAGUAACGUAGCUAACGCGUGAAGUCGACCGCCUGGGGAGUACGGUCGCAAGAUUAAAACUCAAAGGAAUUGACGGGGACCCGCACAAGCGGUGGAUUAUGUGGAUUAAUUCGAUGCAACGCGAAAAACCUUACCUACCCUUGACAUGCCAGGAACCUCGCAGAGAUGUGAGGGUGCCCGAAAGGGAACCUGGGCACAGGUGCUGCAUGGCUGUCGU